Molecule: ribosomal RNA, 509 nt
Filed under: uncultured Glomeromycotina
Lineage: Eukaryota; Fungi; Glomeromycota
Description: SSU rRNA
Rfam family: Eukaryotic small subunit ribosomal RNA
Source: RNAcentral
AGCAGCCGCGGUAAUUCCAGCUCCAAUAGCGUAUAUUAAAGUUGUUGCAGUUAAAAAGCUCGUAGUUGAAUUUCGGGGUUAGUAGGUUGGUCAUGCCUCUGGUAUGUACUGGUCUCACUGAUUCCUCCUUCCUGAUGAACCUUAAUGCCAUUAAUUUGGUGUUUUGGGGAAUUUGGACUGUUACUUUGAAAAAAUUAGAGUGUUUAAAGCAAAGCUAACGCUUGAAUACAUUAGCAUGGAAUAAUGAAAUAGGACGUUCGAUCCUAUUUUGUUGGUUUCUAGGAUUGACGUAAUGAUUAAUAGGGAUAGUUGGGGGCAUUAGUAUUCAAUUGUCAGAGGUGAAAUUCUUGGAUUUAUUGAAGACUAACUACUGCGAAAGCAUUUGCCAAAGGAUGUUUUCAUUAAUCAAGAACGAAAGUUAGGGGAUCGAAGACGAUCAGAUACCGUCGUAGUCUUAACCAUAAACUAUGCCGACUAGGGAUCGGAUGAUGUUAAUUUUUUAAUGACUC